GCCCCGCGGGAGAGAGGCGUCAGGCGUCAGGCUCAUGGCCCGCGCUGCUUCCUGAGGUUCUAUUUGCUGCUUUAUCUACGGUUCCCGUCCUGUGACGUCACGGGGAUGGGCUGAUUGUCCUAACAACAAUUGCCAGCGUUUGAUUAAAAACAAUUUUCCAAUUAGGAAUUGGCAGAUGGGAAUACGAUUCAUCCGAGUCCUGGCCUGGCUUUUCAAAUAUCAAAUACACCAAUUGAAGUGAAAAUAUAA
This is a long non-coding RNA of Gadus macrocephalus (Pacific cod), 249 nucleotides long. RefSeq lists it as uncharacterized. The record is from RefSeq and is a predicted model, not a curated record. The transcript has 2 exons. Lineage: Eukaryota; Metazoa; Chordata; Actinopteri; Gadiformes; Gadidae.